Macaca mulatta (Rhesus monkey) is the source of this 3630-nucleotide non-coding RNA. Lineage: Eukaryota; Metazoa; Chordata; Mammalia; Primates; Cercopithecidae. The record is from RefSeq and is a predicted model, not a curated record.
GCGUGGAGGGGUGAAAGAGGUGAGGGGUGAGCAUCUUUACUCCCCAGUGACCUGCACUCUGAUGAGAGAAUUUAGGCAGGACCAGCUGGGCCAGGAAGGCCUUUUGAGGCAGUUGUGAAACUGAGCCAUCAACUGCUGCCUUGUGCCUGGAGAUCAGUAAAAUGAAGGACAUGGAGACACUAAAGAUGGAAAGUUUUUGAACUACGUACUGGCAGGAAUGUGGCUGACAACACGGUGACCUGGAUCUGCCUCCAGGGGUGCUGGCAGAGCAGGGCCCUCAUGCAGGGUUAGGAGAUGCAUGGAAUUCAAGGCCUCCGAGUGACAGUUAGCAGAACCCGAAUGGGCUGCUCAUCAAGGAAACAGCCCUGAUGGAGUCCAGGAACUUAAGUUCCAGUUCUGGUUCCUUCGCCAUUCAGCUGUGCCAUGAUAGGCACAUCACUUAGCCUCACUGGAGUUCAGUUUCCUCAGUAGCAAAAUGUGGUGAAGAUGCAGAAACUGAGUAUCUAAGAAAUGAAGCCACCUACUCAAAGCCACUCAGUUGAUAGCAAAGUGGAGAUGCAAAGCCAUGUUUGUUCAACUCCAAAGACAAGUUCCAUCAACCACAUUCUAAAAUCUUCCUGAUCCCUGCCAAAGCAUAGAACAGUCUCCUGUCCCUACUCAGACUCCAAGAACUUACCUGAUUUGAUGGGCUGACCAGUGCCAGGGACCUCCUGUCAGGUUCCAGCUGGUCACGUUCUACCUGGAGCCAGGAGCCAGUUUCCCCUCCAGCAAUCACAUCACUCAUGCCCUGCCCAUGACCCCACAUGGGUCAGGGAUCUCCUGGACAGGGGGCAGGCCCCCGCCUUCUGUGACCUCAAUCUUCCUGGGACUCUUAGUCUUGGUUGGUCAUGGGGCAGGGGUGUCAGAGUUUUCCCAAUCUAGUUUCUAGAGUUCACAGAUUCUAGAGGGCUGUUUCCUGGGAUCAAGGACACUUUGUUUUGUGUGUCCUGACUGUGGCUGUCAUGGUUAGAAUGCAUUAAUUAUGAAUCGAGCUGACAUUCUUUCAGGAAACAACUGGUCGUUAGAACAGAAUCUUCUCUCAUUACCAGCAUUUGGAAAGUUGAGUUUCAUUUUGUCAGUCAUUCAAUGUGCAUCUUUCCAAUAAUGUGGUAUGUCCAGCGUUCCAGCAUGAACCACAUAUUUCCCCAAGCUGACCAUACAGCUUUCUUCUGGAACUUUCACAGGAAACACCCUGAGAUGUAGCCUGCAGAGCUGAAGGCGACAGAUGAACCUCAGCCCCUCUGCAUUCAUUGCGCAACUAUGAGGGGACAAGCAGUUUGCCCUCAGUUGUCAUCAGCCCACAUGAUUCCUGUCUGGCACAGCCUCCCUUCCCAUUGGCCAAACUCUCACCAUUCCUUUUCAGGCUCCGCCUAAGUGUCUCACCCCUACACCCUUUCCCUUAAUCAGGCUGAAGUUGGAAUGUGUUCACCCAAUUUUAUUAUAACUAAAUAUAUUCAGCUUGACCUAAGCUUUAGCAGAUUUUAAUAGUUAUUAAUGGAAUAUUCAUCUAUUUCCCUAUACAUACUGUAAUCAACAUUCCAAUUCUCAAAUGCACUAAAGUAUCUGAAGAUCAGACACUUUAAGUAAUUUAAAUUUAUGACAAAGUUUUCUGAAGAUAUAAGCAGAUCCUGUUAGAUACAGAUGCACUGUAGCAUGAUGAAAUUCUUACAAACACUUUCAUGCACUGUAGCAUGAUGAAAAUAUCUGACCAGAGCCUGUCACUGUACCUUGUAGACAUUCUUACAAAUAGCUCUUAUCUAAUCCUCAUAAUCCAUCACCCGUCACCCACAGGUGACAGUUAAACCAUUGGAUCCACAUGAUUACUGAAGGCUUGCUUCUUCAUUGGCUGCAGGAAUCUCAUGAAAAUCAUGUCUUCAUAUAUAGCAAAACUUUGGGCUUAUGCAUCCUUCUAGGAAGAAUAAGCAGUUAAUGGGCAUGACAGGCCUUUGAAGCCUAUGUAACCCUGCAUGUGUGCAAGCUGCUCUUUUAAGUGGACAACAAAAGACAGUGGCAGAAGUCAGGCUGGGCUCCAGACCCAGCUCUACCUUAAUAGUCAGGUGAUCUCUAUCAGGUCAUUUGUAUUCUCUGAACCUCAGGUUUCUUGUCUGUCAAUGGAAAUUAUAAUAAUGCCUGCCCUACUGUGAAGUUCAGAUGAGCUCAUGGAUGUGAACACCUUUUGUGGGUUACAGAGCAACACUUGAAUGCCAGCCAUCCUUUGUUAACGUAUAUUAACUCUUAGUUCCUACAAUACUAGGAGGUAGAUAUCAUCCCCUCCUUUCACAGAUGUGGAGACUCCAAUGAGUAGACCCUUGAGGAGCUGACCUUCCAACUCAGAUCUCCCCAUCCAAUGCUCUUCCCCUCUGUGCCCAGGCACCAUCCUCGGCUCCCAUCCCUGCUCACAGCUGCAUCAUGUGCAUACUGUGAGCAUCACAUCAUACAGUCUUACCUUAAAUCUGGGGUCAAAUCAGUUGUCAAGAGCCACACACUGGGAAGAGGGAGAUCAAGGAAAACCAGCCAAGCUCCUCCCAAUAUAAGGAUGUUUGCCAAGUUCCAGGGAGCUCCUGCUACCCCCAGGCCUGGGUGAAGUAAGCACUGGAUAGAACAGACAGGAUACAAUGGCAUUGCCCUGAGAAGGCUUUCCAUCUGGCGAGGCAAGGACUCAGAGACACAGGUGAUUUUUAAGAUCCCACUUGUGUCCCUCAUUGGUCUACAGGCUCCAUGAAGUCAGGUAUCAAACAUUUCCAUUGCUAUAUUCUCCAGGCCUAAUCUGGAUCCUCCCAGGGCGGCUCUUCAGUGAACGUGUACUGAACUGAACAGACAUUCACAGAGCAGAUGGACAGCACUAGGGACUCAUCCUCUGGCCCCAGAGGCCCAUGAAAGAAUAUCCAGGCAGGCUGGACUACGCUGGGAAGGGGGAGGCCUGGACUCUCAUCGACAGGGAGGGGCCCCAAAAGGAAGAGAAACCCAUCAACAUCCUGUGAACUAAAUGGAAAGAAAUGCUGUUUAGGAAAAAAAAACAUGAUAAAUAAAAUUCCUGAGAGCAGCUGCUAAGCCAGGGAGCACCACACUCAUCCCCUUCUGCAAGAGAAUGAAAAGAUGGAGCUACAGCUCCCAUCCCACAUCUGCAUCUGGUGUGGCCUUCCCGCCACGGGCCAGGGGUCGGACCUGGUUCCACAGGCAAAGGGGCUGCUUAGGCUGGGCUUGAAAUAGGCUGAGUGGAAACCUGCGCGCCCCUGCCUGCCUCCCUGUACAUGGAAAGGAGCUUUCAGUGAGUAUGGAGAUUUCUGCCUUUGUCAGAGGAAGGCGUCCUCAUCACAAGGCAGGGCAGGUGUCUGUGCCCAAGAGCUGAGCAGAGAACAAGCAGCCAGUGGAGGCUUUCGCUUGAACCGUGCAACCCUUACCUGAUUGGGAAGCGCAAGUGACAAUUAAUAGUGAGUCACUUUAUGUAAAUGCCUCUCUCUUUUUGUAUGCUAUAUUUAGAGAAACAAACUGCUUUGGCAUUUAGAGAUACAUUUUAUGUAAGAGUUUGUUGCUGAUGCUGCUGUUACUGUUCAUCAUCCAGAUAAUAAAAGCAAACUAGAAAUACUCAAA